Molecule: ribosomal RNA, 440 nt
Filed under: uncultured bacterium
Lineage: Bacteria
Description: partial 16S ribosomal RNA
Rfam family: Bacterial small subunit ribosomal RNA
Source: RNAcentral
CCUACGGGUUGCUGCAGUGGGGAAUAUUGCACAAUGGGGGAAACCCUGAUGCAGCGACGCCGCGUGGGUGAUGAAGGUUUUCGGUUUGUAAAGCUCUAUCAGUAGGGAAGAAAAUGACGGUAUCUGACGAAUAAGCCCCGGCUAACUACGUGCCAGCAGCCGCGGUAAUACGGAGGGGGCAAGCGUUAUCCGGAUUCACUGGGCGUAAAGGGAGCGUAGGCGGGUAGGCAAGUCAGAAGUGAAAGCCCAGGGCUUAACCUUGGGACUGCAUUUGAAACUGGGUAGCUAGAGUGUAGGAGAGGUAAGCGGAAUUCCUGGUGUAGCGGUGAAAUCCGUAGAGAUUAAGAGGAACACUCAUGGCGAAGGCGGCCUACUAGAACAUAACUGACGCUGAGGCGCGAAAGCGUGGGGAGCAAACAGGAUUAGAUACCCCAGUAGUC